Molecule: ribosomal RNA, 253 nt
Filed under: uncultured bacterium
Lineage: Bacteria
Description: partial 16S ribosomal RNA
Rfam family: Bacterial small subunit ribosomal RNA
Source: RNAcentral
UACGUAGGGGGCAAGCGUUGUCCGGAAUCAUUGGGCGUAAAGAGCGCGUAGGCGGCCCGAUAAGUCCGCUGUGAAAGUCCAGGGCUCAACCCUGGGAUGCCGGUGGAUACUGUCGGGCUCGAGUCCGGAAGAGGCGAGUGGAAUUCCUGGUGUAGCGGUGAAAUGCGCAGAUAUCAGGAGGAACACCAAUGGCGAAGGCAGCUCGCUGGGACGUGACUGACGCUGAGACGCGAAAGCGUGGGGAGCAAACAGG